This 372-nucleotide ribosomal RNA is filed under the name uncultured bacterium. RNAcentral's name for it is "bacterial SSU rRNA". It matches the Rfam family "Bacterial small subunit ribosomal RNA", at positions 30 to 418 of the family's 1533-position model. The record is from RNAcentral.
AUUGAACGCUGGCGGCAUGGCUAAAACAUGCAAGUCGAACGCGAAAGGGAGCAAUCCCAAGUAGAGUGGCGAAAGGGUGAGUAAUACGUUCCUACGUGCCUUGAGGUCAGGGAUAGCCAGGGGAAACUCUGGGUAAUACCUGAUGUGGUCGCAAGAUCAAAGGCUUGCCGCCUCGAGAGCGGGGAACGUCCUAUCAGGUAGUUGGUGAGGUAACGGCUCACCAAGCCUUAGACGGGUAGCAGGUGUGAGAGCACGGCCUGCCACAUCGGAACUGAGACACUGUCCGGACUCCGUACGGGAGGCUGCAGUAACGAAUCUUCCGCAAUGCGCGAAAGCGUGACGGAGCAAUGCCGCGUGCAGGAUGAACGCCCC